This 497-nucleotide ribosomal RNA is filed under the name uncultured bacterium. RNAcentral describes it as "partial 16S ribosomal RNA". It matches the Rfam family "Bacterial small subunit ribosomal RNA", at positions 28 to 507 of the family's 1533-position model. The record is from RNAcentral.
GAUGAACGCUGGCGGCGUGCCUAAUACAUGCAAGUCGAGCGAACAGAUGAGGAGCUUGCUCCUCUGACGUUAGCGGCGGACGGGUGAGUAACACGUGGAUAACCUACCUAUAAGACUGGGAUAACUUCGGGAAACCGGAGCUAAUACCGGAUAAUAUAUUGAACCGCAUGGUUCAAUAGUGAAAGAGGGUUUUGCUGUCACUUAUAGAUGGUUCCGCGCCGCAUUAGCUAGUUGGUAAGGUAACGGCUUACCAAGGCAACGAUGCGUAGCCGACCUGAGAGGGUGAUCAGCCACACUGGAACUGAGACACGGUCCAGACUCCUACGGGAGGCAGCAGUAGGGAAUCUUCCGCAAUGGGCGAAAGCUUGACGGAGCAACGCCGCGUGAGUGAUGAAGGUCUUCGGAUCGUAAAACUCUGUUAUUAGGGAAGAACAAAUGUGUAAGUAACUAUGCACGUCUUGACGGUACCUAAUCAGAAAGCCACGGCUAACUACGUG